GCAGAGAGUAGUGGGGUGGACCCAUGGCUAUCAUCGGGGUGUGCCACGUGGGGCCUGCCGCGGGAAGUGGAGCGGCGUCCGUUGUCGCGACUCGCCAGUGGAUGGAAGAAUCGCGCGGUAACCGUCUCAGGAAGUGGAGCGGGGUUGUGGCCGUUAUCGUGGCUUGCCAGGGAGUGAUGGAGCUGCGCGGAAUCUGCCGCAGGAAGUGGAGCAGUGCUGUGAUCGUUACUGUGGCUUGUCAGGGAGUGAUAGAGCUGCGCGGAAUCUGCCGCAGGAAGUGGAGCAGUGCUGUGAUCGUUACUGCGGCUUGUCAGGGAGUGAUGGAGCUGCGCGGAAUCUGCCGCA
RNAcentral lists this long non-coding RNA (345 nucleotides) under Elaeis guineensis (African oil palm). Its description in RNAcentral is "long non-coding RNA (EGUI_LNC011352)". Lineage: Eukaryota; Viridiplantae; Streptophyta; Magnoliopsida; Arecales; Arecaceae. The record is from RNAcentral.